ACAAAACUAACACUAAACACAAAGAAAACUAAGCUUGGCCUGACUCUCUCUAGCUUGGAGCUAUGAUCAAUCCCCAGAAGAGUCGCCAGGUGUCGCAUCUCGAAAAAUGCGAUCAUUCGCGAGGCGCUCGCACGCUCGCGGAAAAGAUGUUCGAACAGAGUCGCCACAAAAUUUUAUUUAUUCCAAUGAAGGAAAGAGAAAAUAUCGAUAAAACCCACGAUAAACAACAAAAAC
Molecule: long non-coding RNA, 234 nt
Filed under: Lathyrus oleraceus (garden pea)
Lineage: Eukaryota; Viridiplantae; Streptophyta; Magnoliopsida; Fabales; Fabaceae
Description: Pisum sativum (pea) long non-coding RNA (PSAT_LNC042036)
Source: RNAcentral